Molecule: ribosomal RNA, 253 nt
Filed under: uncultured bacterium
Lineage: Bacteria
Description: partial 16S ribosomal RNA
Rfam family: Bacterial small subunit ribosomal RNA
Source: RNAcentral
UACGUAGGGAGCAAGCGUUGUCCGGAAUCAUUGGGCGUAAAGCGCGUGUAGGCGGUUCGGUAAGUCCGCUGUGAAAGUCGGGGGCUCAACCCUCGAAUGCCGGUGGAUACUGUCGAACUAGAGUGCGGAAGAGGCGAGUGGAAUUCCUGGUGUAGCGGUGAAAUGCGCAGAUAUCAGGAGGAACACCAAUUGCGAAGGCAGCUCGCUGGGACGUAACUGACGCUGAGACGCGAAAGCGUGGGGAGCAAACAGG